RNAcentral lists this ribosomal RNA (461 nucleotides) under uncultured bacterium. RNAcentral describes it as "partial 16S ribosomal RNA". It matches the Rfam family "Bacterial small subunit ribosomal RNA", at positions 29 to 507 of the family's 1533-position model. The record is from RNAcentral.
ACGCACGCUGGCGGCGUGCUUCACCCCUGCCGGUCGCACGGAAAGGCCCUUCGGGGUACUCGAGUGGCGAACGGGUGAGUAACACGUGGGUGAUCUGCCCUGCACUUUGGGAUAAGCCUGGGAAACUGGGUCUAAUACCGAAUAUGAUCAUCGGCUUCAUGGUCGGUGGUGGAAAGCUUUUGCGGUGUGGGAUGGGCCCGCGGCCUAUCAGCUUGUUGGUGGGGUAAUGGCCUACCAAGGCGACGACGGGUAGCCGGCCUGAGAGGGUGACCGGCCACACUGGGACUGAGAUACGGCCCAGACUCCUACGGGAGGCAGCAGUGGGGAAUAUUGCACAAUGGGCGCAAGCCUGAUGCAGCGACGCCGCGUGAGGGAUGACGGCCUUCGGGUUGUAAACCUCUUUCAGCACAGACGAAGCGCAAGUGACGGUAUGUGCAGAAGAAGGACCGGCCAACUACGUG